GUUAAGUUAGUUUAUAAUAAAAUAUCAGCCUGUGGAUUUGAUGAAAAACUUUGUUUACUUAACC
RNAcentral lists this transfer RNA (64 nucleotides) under Bithynia leachii. RNAcentral describes it as "tRNA-His". The record is from RNAcentral. Lineage: Eukaryota; Metazoa; Mollusca; Gastropoda; Littorinimorpha; Bithyniidae.